RNAcentral lists this ribosomal RNA (2933 nucleotides) under Escherichia coli. RNAcentral's name for it is "bacterial LSU rRNA". It matches the Rfam family "Bacterial large subunit ribosomal RNA". Lineage: Bacteria; Pseudomonadati; Pseudomonadota; Gammaproteobacteria; Enterobacterales; Enterobacteriaceae. The record is from RNAcentral.
GGGUUGUGAGGUUAAGCGACUAAGCGUACACGGUGGAUGCCCAGGCAGUCAGAGGCGAUGAAGGACGUGCUAAUCUGCGAUAAGCGUCGGUAAGGUGAUAUGAACCGUUAUAACCGGCGAUUUCCGAAUGGGGAAACCCAGUGUGUUUCGACACACUAUCAUUAACUGAAUCCAUAGGUUAAUGAGGCGAACCGGGGGAACUGAAACAUCUAAGUACCCCGAGGAAAAGAAAUCAACCGAGAUUCCCCCAGUAGCGGCGAGCGAACGGGGAGCAGCCCAGAGCCUGAAUCAGUGUGUGUGUUAGUGGAAGCGUCUGGAAAGGCGCGCGAUACAGGGUGACAGCCCCGUACACAAAAAUGCACAUGCUGUGAGCUCGAUGAGUAGGGCGGGACACGUGGUAUCCUGUCUGAAUAUGGGGGGACCAUCCUCCAAGGCUAAAUACUCCUGACUGACCGAUAGUGAACCAGUACCGUGAGGGAAAGGCGAAAAGAACCCCGGCGAGGGGAGUGAAAAAGAACCUGAAACCGUGUACGUACAAGCAGUGGGAGCACGCUUAGGCGUGUGACUGCGUACCUUUUGUAUAAUGGGUCAGCGACUUAUAUUCUGUAGCAAGGUUAACCGAAUAGGGGAGCCGAAGGGAAACCGAGUCUUAACUGGGCGUUAAGUUGCAGGGUAUAGACCCGAAACCCGGUGAUCUAGCCAUGGGCAGGUUGAAGGUUGGGUAACACUAACUGGAGGACCGAACCGACUAAUGUUGAAAAAUUAGCGGAUGACUUGUGGCUGGGGGUGAAAGGCCAAUCAAACCGGGAGAUAGCUGGUUCUCCCCGAAAGCUAUUUAGGUAGCGCCUCGUGAAUUCAUCUCCGGGGGUAGAGCACUGUUUCGGCAAGGGGGGCAUCCCGACUUACCAACCCGAUGCAAACUGCGAAUACCGGAGAAUGUUAUCACGGGAGACACACGGCGGGUGCUAACGUCCGUCGUGAAGAGGGAAACAACCCAGACCGCCAGCUAAGGUCCCAAAGUCAUGGUUAAGUGGGAAACGAUGUGGGAAGGCCCAGACAGCCAGGAUGUUGGCUUAGAAGCAGCCAUCAUUUAAAGAAAGCGUAAUAGCUCACUGGUCGAGUCGGCCUGCGCGGAAGAUGUAACGGGGCUAAACCAUGCACCGAAGCUGCGGCAGCGACGCUUAUGCGUUGUUGGGUAGGGGAGCGUUCUGUAAGCCUGUGAAGGUGUGCUGUGAGGCAUGCUGGAGGUAUCAGAAGUGCGAAUGCUGACAUAAGUAACGAUAAAGCGGGUGAAAAGCCCGCUCGCCGGAAGACCAAGGGUUCCUGUCCAACGUUAAUCGGGGCAGGGUGAGUCGACCCCUAAGGCGAGGCCGAAAGGCGUAGUCGAUGGGAAACAGGUUAAUAUUCCUGUACUUGGUGUUACUGCGAAGGGGGGACGGAGAAGGCUAUGUUGGCCGGGCGACGGUUGUCCCGGUUUAAGCGUGUAGGCUGGUUUUCCAGGCAAAUCCGGAAAAUCAAGGCUGAGGCGUGAUGACGAGGCACUACGGUGCUGAAGCAACAAAUGCCCUGCUUCCAGGAAAAGCCUCUAAGCAUCAGGUAACAUCAAAUCGUACCCCAAACCGACACAGGUGGUCAGGUAGAGAAUACCAAGGCGCUUGAGAGAACUCGGGUGAAGGAACUAGGCAAAAUGGUGCCGUAACUUCGGGAGAAGGCACGCUGAUAUGUAGGUGAAGUCCCUCGCGGAUGGAGCUGAAAUCAGUCGAAGAUACCAGCUGGCUGCAACUGUUUAUUAAAAACACAGCACUGUGCAAACACGAAAGUGGACGUAUACGGUGUGACGCCUGCCCGGUGCCGGAAGGUUAAUUGAUGGGGUUAGCCGCAAGGCGAAGCUCUUGAUCGAAGCCCCGGUAAACGGCGGCCGUAACUAUAACGGUCCUAAGGUAGCGAAAUUCCUUGUCGGGUAAGUUCCGACCUGCACGAAUGGCGUAAUGAUGGCCAGGCUGUCUCCACCCGAGACUCAGUGAAAUUGAACUCGCUGUGAAGAUGCAGUGUACCCGCGGCAAGACGGAAAGACCCCGUGAACCUUUACUAUAGCUUGACACUGAACAUUGAGCCUUGAUGUGUAGGAUAGGUGGGAGGCUUAGAAGUGUGGACGCCAGUCUGCAUGGAGCCGACCUUGAAAUACCACCCUUUAAUGUUUGAUGUUCUAACGUUGACCCGUAAUCCGGGUUGCGGACAGUGUCUGGUGGGUAGUUUGACUGGGGCGGUCUCCUCCUAAAGAGUAACGGAGGAGCACGAAGGUUGGCUAAUCCUGGUCGGACAUCAGGAGGUUAGUGCAAUGGCAUAAGCCAGCUUGACUGCGAGCGUGACGGCGCGAGCAGGUGCGAAAGCAGGUCAUAGUGAUCCGGUGGUUCUGAAUGGAAGGGCCAUCGCUCAACGGAUAAAAGGUACUCCGGGGAUAACAGGCUGAUACCGCCCAAGAGUUCAUAUCGACGGCGGUGUUUGGCACCUCGAUGUCGGCUCAUCACAUCCUGGGGCUGAAGUAGGUCCCAAGGGUAUGGCUGUUCGCCAUUUAAAGUGGUACGCGAGCUGGGUUUAGAACGUCGUGAGACAGUUCGGUCCCUAUCUGCCGUGGGCGCUGGAGAACUGAGGGGGGCUGCUCCUAGUACGAGAGGACCGGAGUGGACGCAUCACUGGUGUUCGGGUUGUCAUGCCAAUGGCACUGCCCGGUAGCUAAAUGCGGAAGAGAUAAGUGCUGAAAGCAUCUAAGCACGAAACUUGCCCCGAGAUGAGUUCUCCCUGACUCCUUGAGAGUCCUGAAGGAACGUUGAAGACGACGACGUUGAUAGGCCGGGUGUGUAAGCGCAGCGAUGCGUUGAGCUAACCGGUACUAAUGAACCGUGAGGCUUAACCUUACAACGCCGAAGGUGUUU